This 74-nucleotide transfer RNA is filed under the name Gammaproteobacteria bacterium. RNAcentral's name for it is "tRNA-Cys". It matches the Rfam family "tRNA". Rfam says of the family: Transfer RNA (tRNA) molecules are approximately 80 nucleotides in length. Their secondary structure includes four short double-helical elements and three loops (D, anti-codon, and T loops). Lineage: Bacteria; Pseudomonadati; Pseudomonadota; Gammaproteobacteria. The record is from RNAcentral.
GGCUAGUUGGCAGAGUGGUUAUGCAGCGGCCUGCAAAGCCGUGUACGCCGGUUCGACUCCGGCACUAGCCUCCA